UAGGGAAUCUUCCGCAAUGGACGAAAGUCUGACGGAGCAACGCCGCGUGAGUGAAGAAGGAUUUCGGAUCGUAAAGCUCUGUUGUUAAGGAAGAACGAGUGUGAGAAUGGAAAGUUCAUGCUGUGACGGUACUUAACCAGAAAGGGACGGCUAACUACGUGCCAGCAGCCGCGGUAAUACGUAGGUCCCGAGCGUUGUCCGGAUUUAUUGGGCGUAAAGCGAGCGCAGGCGGUUAGAAAAGUCUGAAGUGAAAGGCAGUGGCUCAACCAUUGUAGGCUUUGGAAACUGUUUAACUUGAGUGCAGAAGGGGAGAGUGGAAUUCCAUGUGUAGCGAUGAAAUGCGUAGAUAUAUGGAGGAACACCGGUGGCGAAAGCGGCUCUCUGGUCUGUAACUGACGCUGAGGCUCGAAAGCGUGGGGAGCGAACAGG
Molecule: ribosomal RNA, 429 nt
Filed under: Verrucomicrobiota bacterium
Lineage: Bacteria; Pseudomonadati; Verrucomicrobiota
Description: Verrucomicrobia bacterium partial 16S ribosomal RNA
Rfam family: Bacterial small subunit ribosomal RNA
Source: RNAcentral